Eriocheir sinensis (Chinese mitten crab) is the source of this 2179-nucleotide long non-coding RNA. RefSeq lists it as uncharacterized. The record is from RefSeq and is a predicted model, not a curated record. Lineage: Eukaryota; Metazoa; Arthropoda; Malacostraca; Decapoda; Varunidae. The transcript has 4 exons.
GGAGGAGAGGUGUUGGUGGCUGGUUAACAACAGAGAAUAGCCAGGCAGGAGUGAGGAAGAAGGCUCGUCAGUGGAGGAAGACGGGAGAGUGGAAUGGAAAAUGAAAAAGAUGAUAUUGACUGAAGUCUUUUUGGGGUACCCGUGAUCACUCCCUAAGUUCGUUUUUGGGUCACCUUGAAAUACAAUUAGUACACUGUUCUGCACUUUACUUUAAUCUCUACUGAAAAUGACUGUCAGUGACCUUGUGGGCGGCCUCCCUCAACCGUGUGACGUCAUGAUUCUUGAAGAGUUAUCACAAGAAACAUGAGCCAAAUGUCUUUUUUUGCAUCUAGUAAUGUUCAAGCUCUCUUUCUCUCUCUCUCACUUUCUCCAAAUGGCAAAUGGAUCUGUGUUUGUUGAAUGUGCCAACUGUGUUUCAUCUUGACACACAACAAAGACUAUUCCACUCAUCCACAGCUCUUUUUGUCAAUAUCUUUUACUAAGCUUGAAUUUAUGUAGAUUAAUCAAAUCUCAAUGAGCCCUAUUUUGAUUUGCCAAUAUCUUUUACUAAGCUUGAAUUUAAGUAGGUUAAUCAAAUUUCAAUGAGCCCUAUUUUGAUUUGCCAAUAUCUUUUACUAAGCUUGAAUUUAAGUAGAUUAAUCAAAUUUCAAUGAGCCCUAUUCUGAUUUGCCAAUAUCUUUUACUAAGCUUGAAUUUAAGUAGAUUAAUCAAAUUUCAAUGAGCCCUAUUUUGAUUUGCCAAUAUCUUUUACUAAGCUUGAAUUUAAGUAGGUUAAUCAAAUUUCAAUGAGCCCUAUUUUGAUUUACCAAUAUCUUUUACUAAGCUUGAAUUUAAGUAGAUUAAUCAAAUUUCAAUGAGCCCUAUCUUGCUCCUUCACUUCAAGAGCCUUACUAACAUCACCAAUAUCAAAGCCCUUCAUCCACUUAUUAACUCACAUAAAGUCUCUACGCACCCUCAGAUGGUAAGUUAACUGUUUAAACCUAACUCUAAAUACUCUCUACAUCACACCCAUACAUACAUGCAGAAUAUUAAAGCAUGCAUACACACACACACACACACACACACACACACCAACACUCUUUCCUCACAACUAAAACAGCAACAUAACACGCCAUAACAAGCCUAUCAGUCAUCCAAAACACGCCAUAACAAGCCUAUCAGUCAUCCAUCAGCACCAGCCUGCACCACAACCACCAUGAACACACCCGGACAACCAAUAAACCUAGGGUGGUAUUGCCAAACGCUUCGUCGACCAAGUUCACAUAUUUGACAAGGCCUUCGUAGGAGUUUUGGGCAUUUCCAGGAGUAGUUUUAUGACCCUGGUGGUAGUUUGAGCCUUCCUCUGUACCAUAAACCUAAAGAAACACUCAUUAGAACCCGACUGACCCACUCUUUGGCCUUUAGAAAUACCUGAUGUGAGAAAUCAAACUGUCUUAUGAUACCGACCCUGGCGUACUACCACAAAGACUAUCCACUAAACACAGAAAGCGUCUACCACACUUCACAACCAUAUAGAGACCAACGACAAACCUUUAACAAAAACGAUUCAACUUCACAUUUCCUUUGGUAACAUGUGUGAUUAGAGGCGUCACUUCAAAUUUAACUUAGGGUGGGCAAAAGCUGCACUGCCAAACACAUGAAGGGUCGGGGGUUGCUAACAUCCUGGUCCACUGUAUUUGGCGAUGAUCGUGCCAACCUUUGACGUGGCAACAGCAUCGUCACUUUCCUGCUGCUAUUGAGUUUACAAAUAGCAGGUGAUGAGAAGGAUGAAAACAGAUGAAUAAAUGCCUUCUUUUUCAUGAUGAUGCAUGGUAAGAAUAAUAUUGAGAUGUUUUAACCCUUUCCAUAUGGUGACGCCGGCCAUAUUGAAAGGGUUAAUCCUCUUCUGAACCUCUUAAUCCUCUUCCAAUUCCUCUUAACCCUUUCCAUACUGUGACCCCAAGGUUUGCAUCACCGUAUGGAAAGGGUUAAUCCUCUUCUGAACCUCUUAAUCCUCUUCCAAUUCCUCUUAACCCUUUCCAUACUGUAACGCCAAGGUUUGCAUCACCGUAUGGAAAGGGUUAAUCCUCUUCUGAACCUCUUAAUCCUCUUCCAAUUCCUCUUAACCCUUUCCAUACUGUAACGCCAAGGUUUGCAUCACCGUAUGGAAAGGGUUAAUCCUCUUCUGAACCUCUUAAUC